This 73-nucleotide transfer RNA is filed under the name Rhodobacterales bacterium 32-66-9. RNAcentral's name for it is "tRNA-OTHER". It matches the Rfam family "tRNA". Rfam says of the family: Transfer RNA (tRNA) molecules are approximately 80 nucleotides in length. The record is from RNAcentral. Lineage: Bacteria; Pseudomonadati; Pseudomonadota; Alphaproteobacteria; Rhodobacterales. RNAcentral also lists the same sequence under 1 other name.
GGCCUAGUGGCAGAAUGGUCAUGCACCAGGGGUCGCAAUCUGGGGGACGUCAGUUCGAUCCUGACCUAGGCCU